This is an RNA transcript of Aegilops tauschii subsp. strangulata, 1941 nucleotides long. RefSeq lists it as uncharacterized. The record is from RefSeq and is a predicted model, not a curated record. Lineage: Eukaryota; Viridiplantae; Streptophyta; Magnoliopsida; Poales; Poaceae.
GCCCAAGCAAACCCCAUUCCACGGGCCGGAUUCCCCACCACUUACCCACCCCAAACCCUAGGUUUCCCAUGGUGCAAGCCGCACCCAGCUCCGCCACCGCCGCCCCCGCCCCCGACGCUGACCCCGCCACACCCCGCCGUCCCGUCUCCUCUCGAAACAUCGCCCGCGACGCCGUGCAGCGCCCCCCCGCCCGACCUUGCCGCACCCCGCGCCCACGCGCGGCCUGCCCGAUCUGAACCGCUGCCACUGCUGCUCCGUUCGCUUCCAGCAGCCGGCGCCGGGCGCCAAGCGACGUCCACUCCGUCCCCUCCGCUCCCUCUGGCGCGUCGUCCUCCUCUGCUCUGAAUGUAUCUCCCUCCUUCGCUCUGGCGCCGUCUGCUCCUACUGCCUCAACCUCGACAACCUGCCGCACGAUGACUCGGUCACCUGCCGCAGCUGCAACUGCUGCGUCCACCACCACUGCAUCCCCGCUGAGCACCGUACUGCCCUGAUCCAGCCUGUAGAUUUGGAGAAUUUCGUCUGCAUCGAUUGCUGCCCCACAGUGAAGGUGGGUAGCAAGAAUGAGGGCGCCGAAUCCGUUCCUAAGCUGGAGUUGGUCAUCAGAGAGCCUAGUCCUGCAUUGCGGAGGAAGGGGGGGCCUGUCGCUGCUGCUAAGUUGAAUUCGCCGAGGAAGGUUGUGGAGGAGGUGAGGCCAGCUUGGAAGGAUGCGAUGGCCCUCGUUCCUGUAGGCGAGGGGUCAGAGAGCGAGGGUCCCGGCGAUCGGGACCUGCCAGACGAGGCAUUGGCGCUGCAGCUUCAUUUGGCGAUCAACGGGUCACUGAGGAUUUCACGUUCUGGCAGUGCAUCUGUGUCUGUCUUGGCAGGGCAGUGCAAGAGGCAGGCCAAGAGGCAGAAUGGAUUGGUUUACGGAAGGAAGGUUAAUGAGGAUCUGGGACUUUGUGUAACCAAUAUGAUGGAUCAUCUGGACUAUCUUGAGACCGGAGCAGAGAUGGGAAGCAACUGGAAUGCUAGUCAGGAUUUAGGAUCUGAUCCCACAGUCCCUGUGGUUCUUGCACUGGAGUGUAAAGGUAAACACCCUCAGGAGAGUCCGAGAGGUGAAAGGAAAGGUCUUCCUGAGACUAAACAACAUAAUAGUUUGGUGGAUUGGCAUAAGGUGGAUCGGUAUGAGAAGAAGUAUAGCAAGAGGAAGUCAAGUAAGCAGACAGAUGCUGAAAGCACUGGAAACAAGACCUUGCCCAAUGGAAAGGACAUGGAUGUUGGUGAAGGUGGUGAGGGCAUAACUCCUAUGACAUAGACUGCUGCUUCUUUUUGGAGGUAAUUCGUGAUAACAGUAGUUUGCAUCCAGCAAUACAGGAUUGAAGCUAGCAACAUGUUGGUGGCUUUGAUAGCAGCUACAAUCAAAGUUAUAGGUACGUUCGGACAAAUGAGAUGCUUCAUGAAGGAAUCAGUAGUAGCAGUACUUCAUACCAGCUACAUGCCAUCAACAACCAAUAACAUGUUAAAAUUGUACUAGCUGGUUUUUACUGCUUACAUGGUUCAGCAACAUUAAUUGUUGAAGGCAGUGGUGAGGCAUGUGUGGAUUUUUUGGGUUGAGAUGAACUUUUUGUGGCUGCAAAUUAGCAAAUACAAGCGAAGUUAUAGGAUGUUUUGACAAAUGAGAUGCUUCAUGAAGGAGUCAACAGUAGCAGUACUUCAUGCCAGCUACAUGCAAUCAACAACCAAUAACAUAUUAAAUUUUAGUCGCUUGUUUUCUUACAAGUGAUUACAUGGUUGAACAACAUUAAAUGUUGAAGAUACCAGCGAGGCAUUCAUGGAACUGUGGGUUGACAUGAUUUUUAAGUAUUGGUGUUCUGCUUGUACUGCUUGUAGAUGGUGCUAAAAUUAUGUGACAUUGUAUGUUUAGUGAAUGGUAGUUUUUAAUUUCAUGUCAGACUUAUACUA